AAAGGAAUUGACGGGGGCCCGCACAAGCGGAGGAACAUGUGGUUUAAUUCGAUGAUACGCGAGGAACCUUACCCGGGCUUGAACUGCAGCGGAAGGAUACAGAGAUGUUGACGCCCUUCGGGGCCGCUGUGGAGGUGCUGCAUGGUUGUCGUCAGCUCGUGCCGUGAGGUGUCGGCUUAAGUGCCAUAACGAGCGCAACCCUUUUCGUCAGUUGCCAUCAGGUGAUGCUGGGCACUCUGGCGACACUGCCACCGUAAGGUGUGAGGAAGGUGGGGAUGACGUCAAAUCAGCACGGCCCUUACGUCCGGGGCUACACACGUGUUACAAUGGGGCAUACAGAAGGCCGGUCGCCCGCAAGAGCGAUCAAAUCUUAAAAGUGUCCCUCAGUUCGGAUUGGGGUCUGCAACCCGACCCCAUGAAGCUGGAUUCGCUAGUAAUCGCGCAUCAGCCAUGGCGCGGUGAAUACGUUCCCGGGCCUUGUACACACCGCCCGUCAAGCCAUGAAAGCCGGGGGCGCUUGAAGUCCGUGACCGCAAGGAUCGGCCUAGAGCGAAACUGGUAAUUGGGGCU
Molecule: ribosomal RNA, 570 nt
Filed under: uncultured rumen bacterium
Lineage: Bacteria
Description: bacterial SSU rRNA
Rfam family: Bacterial small subunit ribosomal RNA
Source: RNAcentral